AGUGGGGAAUUUUGGACAAUGGGCGCAAGCCUGAUCCAGCCAUUCCGCGUGCAGGAUGAAGGCCCUCGGGUUGUAAACUGCUUUUGUACGGAACGAAACGGUCCUGGUUAAUACCUGGGGCUAAUGACGGUACCGUAAGAAUAAGCACCGGCUAACUACGUGCCAGCAGCCGCGGUAAUACGUAGGGUGCAAGCGUUAAUCGGAAUUACUGGGCGUAAAGCGUGCGCAGGCGGUGAUGUAAGACGGAUGUGAAAUCCCCGGGCUCAACCUGGGAACUGCAUUCGUGACUGCAUCGCUGGAGUGCGGCAGAGGGGGAUGGAAUUCCGCGUGUAGCAGUGAAAUGCGUAGAUAUGCGGAGGAACACCGAUGGCGAAGGCAAUCCCCUGGGCCUGCACUGACGCUCAUGCACGAAAGCGUGGGGAGCAAACAGGAUUAGAUACCCUGGUAGUCCACGCCCUAAACGAUGUCAACUGGUUGUUGGUCCUUCACUGGAUCAGUAACGAAGCUAACGCGUGAAGUUGACCGCCUGGGGAGUACGGCCGC
This 543-nucleotide ribosomal RNA is filed under the name uncultured bacterium. RNAcentral's name for it is "bacterial SSU rRNA". It matches the Rfam family "Bacterial small subunit ribosomal RNA", at positions 353 to 889 of the family's 1533-position model. The record is from RNAcentral.